UACGGGGGGGGUUAGUGUUAUUCAUCGUUACUGGGUGUAAAGCGCGCGUGGACUGUUUAAGAAGUUCUAGUUAAAAUAAUCUAAGCGUAACUUAGAAGUUAACUUUUAUACUCUUAUAACUUGAGGUUAAAAGAAGGAAGCUAUACUUCUCAGAGAAAUGUGAAAUUUGUCCGAACUGAGGGGGAUAACCAGCAGGCAAAAAGCGGCUUCCUAUUAUAAUUCUGACGUUUAGGCGCAAAAGCCUGGGGAUCAAACGGG
RNAcentral lists this ribosomal RNA (258 nucleotides) under uncultured bacterium. RNAcentral describes it as "partial 16S ribosomal RNA". It matches the Rfam family "Bacterial small subunit ribosomal RNA", at positions 524 to 776 of the family's 1533-position model. The record is from RNAcentral.